UCUUGACAUACUCUGCAAAGCUAUAGAGAUAUAGUGGAGGUUAACAGAUGUACAGGUGGUGCAUGGUUGUCGUCAGCUCGUGUCGUGAGAUGUUGGGUUAAGUCCCCGCAACGAGCGCAACCCUUAUUGCUAGUUACCAUCAUUAAGUUGGGGACUCUAGCGAGACUGCCAGUGAUAAACUGGAGGAAGGUGGGGAUGACGUCAAAUCAUCAUGCCCCUUAUGACCUGGGCUACAAACGUCAUACAAUGGCUGAAACAAAGAGAAGCGAAGCAGUGAUGUGGAGCAAAACUCAUAAAAGCAGUCUCAGUUCAGAUUGUAGUCUGCAACUCGACUACAUGAAGUCGGAAUCGCUAGUAAUCGCAGAUCAGCAUGCUGCGGUAAAUACGUUCUCGGGUUU
RNAcentral lists this ribosomal RNA (398 nucleotides) under uncultured Acholeplasma sp. Its description in RNAcentral is "bacterial SSU rRNA". It matches the Rfam family "Bacterial small subunit ribosomal RNA", at positions 979 to 1381 of the family's 1533-position model. Lineage: Bacteria; Bacillati; Mycoplasmatota; Mollicutes; Acholeplasmatales; Acholeplasmataceae. The record is from RNAcentral.